UCUCAGUUCGGAUUGGAGUCUGCAACUCGACUCCAUGAAGCUGGAUUCGCUAGUAAUCGCGCAUCAGCCAUGGCGCGGUGAAUACGUUCCCGGGCCUUGUACACACCGCCCGUCAAGCCAUGGAAGCCGGGGGUGCCUGAAGUGCGUGACCGCAAGGAGCGCCCUAAGGUAAAACCGGUGACUGGGGCUAAGUCGUAACAAGGUAGC
This 207-nucleotide ribosomal RNA is filed under the name uncultured bacterium. Its description in RNAcentral is "partial 16S ribosomal RNA". It matches the Rfam family "Bacterial small subunit ribosomal RNA", at positions 1286 to 1500 of the family's 1533-position model. The record is from RNAcentral.